Molecule: ribosomal RNA, 465 nt
Filed under: uncultured Klebsiella sp.
Lineage: Bacteria; Pseudomonadati; Pseudomonadota; Gammaproteobacteria; Enterobacterales; Enterobacteriaceae
Description: bacterial SSU rRNA
Rfam family: Bacterial small subunit ribosomal RNA
Source: RNAcentral
CCUACGGGGGGCUGCAGUGGGGAAUAUUGCACAAUGGGCGCAAGCCUGAUGCAGCCAUGCCGCGUGUGUGAAGAAGGCCUUCGGGUUGUAAAGCACUUUCAGCGGGGAGGAAGGCGUUAAGGUUAAUAACCUUGUCGAUUGACGUUACCCGCAGAAGAAGCACCGGCUAACUCCGUGCCAGCAGCCGCGGUAAUACGGAGGGUGCAAGCGUUAAUCGGAAUUACUGGGCGUAAAGCGCACGCAGGCGGUCUGUCAAGUCGGAUGUGAAAUCCCCGGGCUCAACCUGGGAACUGCAUUCGAAACUGGCAGGCUAGAGUCUUGUAGAGGGGGGUAGAAUUCCAGGGGUAGCGGUGAAAUGCGUAGAGAUCUGGAGGAAUACCGGUGGCGAAGGCGGCCCCCUGGACAAAGACUGACGCUCAGGUGCGAAAGCGUGGGGAGCAAACAGGAUUAGAUACCCGGGUAGUC